Molecule: ribosomal RNA, 1560 nt
Filed under: Triticum aestivum (bread wheat)
Lineage: Eukaryota; Viridiplantae; Streptophyta; Magnoliopsida; Poales; Poaceae
Description: partial small subunit ribosomal RNA
Source: RNAcentral
AUGGCUUCCCACCCGCCGCCGCCGCCGCCGCCGCCGGAGCACCCUAUCCCACCCGCUCCCACCACCAUAAGUGCCCUCGACGACGACCAGCUCCGAGAGAUCUUCCUCCGCCUCCCGGACCUCUCCAGCCUCGCCUCCGCCGCCUUCACCUGCCGCACCUUCCUCGGCGCCGUCCGUUCGUCCCGCGCCUUUCGCCGCAGCUUCCGUGCGCUCCACGCGCCCCCGCUCCUCGCUCUCUUCCUCACACCCUACAUGCGCACGGUACCUACCUUCCCCGCCUCACGCCCCCCCACUGCCGCCAGAUUCAGUCCCCUCCGAGACGACGACGCUUCCGAGUGGGGGGUCGAUUUCUCCGAUCCUUCGAUUGCGUACGAUGAAGGCUUCAUCGCUCUCCAGCAUCGGAGCACCAAGCAGGAAGUUUACUACAACCCCCAAACGAUGGCUCUGUUUCUCCACCCCCAGGAGCACCAUGACAUGCCCGACGGCACCACCCUUGAGUUCCACACACUCUCCCCCGGAGAGGAUCAGAGGCCGCCCCGUGUGGUCUCUGUCCGUCAUGACUACUCGCGGCCUUGGGCACGCGUCGCCGUCUUCUCAUCGGACACCAUGGAGUGGCAGAUUUUCCCGGAGACGGCCGCGCUACUGCCUGAGGGAUUCAGGCGUACAACCCGCACGCUGGUGGAUGGGUUUAUCUGUUGGCAAUGCGAGUCUGUGGGCGGGGCAUCUCUCAGCGAGUACAUUUUGGUGCUCAACACAGAUACCUUUCAGUUCUCUCUAAUAGAUCUGCCGCCGCCCUUGAGAGUGGUAUACCCAGAAUUUAAGAUUGGUCAGACCAAGAAUGGGAGGCUCUGUAUCGUAAAUGAGAAGGAAUGCACACUUUCUGUUUGGAUCUUGACAGACAGUGAUGACGGCGUCCAGCGAUUUGUGCUGCACAAUACGUUUCCGUUGCACUCUAGCUUUAUGGAGGUCACCAACUGUUCAGUGGAAGAUACAAUCUCAGUGCGGCUUAUGACGGUUUUCAGUGGUUUUGUCUACCUUUCUAUUUCCCCCUGGAAGAAUUCCAUGGAUCAGUACAAAUCCCCUGAGUGGUUCCUGUCCUUCUCUCUGGAAACAGCGGAGCUGAACCAGCAUUUUAAGAACAGAGAGCAACUUCCAUGCCCUGUCCAUCCCUACUUGGCCUGGCCUCCUUUGGUAUGCAGCAUGGUGGAUUCAGAAUCUGAAGUUACUGGAAACAUUUUGGGGGAUGUUGGUCCUGAGGGCACAGAAACGGCUUCAUCUGUCCUCAUAACAGCAUUACGCUCAUUCAAAGAAGCUUUGAUUAAGGAUGGGGAAGCAAAUGUUGCAGAGAUAGAUGCCUUCCUACUUUGUGUUGACGCUGAGGAUGAGAAGAACUCUCUUGUGAGUAAAAUCACUGCUUUAGAUGAACUGUUGAUAGCUGUGAGAGAUCGUGUCUUGAGGGUUGGUGCAGACUCUGAAUUCUACGGACAGAAGACAGAAACAGAGAGCUGGUGGGAAAUGUGCAAAGGGAAGUUACGGAGAGCUUUCUUCUUCGCUAGCUGA